ACCGAUAGCGAACAAGUAGAGUGAUCGAAAGAUGAAAAGCACUUUGAAAAGAGAGUUAAACAGCACGUGAAAUUGUUGAAAGGGAAGCGUUGUCCACCAGACUCGCCCGGGGGGGCUCAGCCGGCACGUGUGCCGGUGUACUCCCCUCCGGGCGGGCCAGCAUCGGUUUGGGCGGCUGGUGAAAGGCCCCGGGAAUGUAACACCCUCCGGGGUGCCUUAUAGCCCGGGGUGCCAUGCAGCCAGCCUGGACCGAGGCCCGCGCUUCGGCGAGGAUGCUGGCGUAAUGGUGGUCAACGGCCCGUCUUGAAACACGGACCCAAG
RNAcentral lists this ribosomal RNA (321 nucleotides) under Talaromyces sp. Its description in RNAcentral is "LSU rRNA". It matches the Rfam family "Eukaryotic large subunit ribosomal RNA", at positions 333 to 671 of the family's 3401-position model. RNAcentral also lists the same sequence under 1 other name. Lineage: Eukaryota; Fungi; Ascomycota; Eurotiomycetes; Eurotiales; Trichocomaceae. The record is from RNAcentral.